UACGGAGGGUGCGAGCGUUGUCCGGAAUCACUGGGCGUAAAGGGCGCGUAGGCGGCCUGAUAAGUAGGGGGUGAAAUCCUGCGGCUUAACCGCAGGGCUGCCUUCUAAACUGUCGGGCUAGAGCACGGUAGAGGCAGAUGGAAUUCCCGGUGUAGCGGUGGAAUGCGUAGAGAUCGGGAAGAACAUCAGUGGCGAAGGCGGUCUGCUGGGCCGUUGCUGACGCUGAGGCGCGACAGCGUGGGUAGCAAACGGG
RNAcentral lists this ribosomal RNA (253 nucleotides) under uncultured bacterium. RNAcentral describes it as "partial 16S ribosomal RNA". It matches the Rfam family "Bacterial small subunit ribosomal RNA", at positions 524 to 776 of the family's 1533-position model. The record is from RNAcentral.